Molecule: ribosomal RNA, 853 nt
Filed under: Treponema sp. oral taxon 517
Lineage: Bacteria; Pseudomonadati; Spirochaetota; Spirochaetia; Treponematales; Treponemataceae
Description: bacterial SSU rRNA
Rfam family: Bacterial small subunit ribosomal RNA
Source: RNAcentral
GUGAGUAACGCGUGGAUGAUCUACCUUUGAGAUGGGGAUAGCUUCUAGAAAUAGGAGGUAAUACCGAAUAACCUUAUUAUGUUAUGACGUAGUAAGAAAAGGAGCGUCAGCUCCGCUUAAAGAUGAGUCUGCGUCCCAUUAGCUAGUUGGUAAGGUAAAGGCCUACCAAGGCAACGAUGGGUACCCGGCCUGAGAGGGUGAACGGGCACAUUGGGACUGAGAUACGGCCCAAACUCCUACGGGAGGCAGCAGCUGAGAAUCUUCCGCAAUGGACGAAAGUCUGACGGAGCGACACCGCGUGAACGAUGAAGGCCGAAAGGUUGUAAAGUUCUUUUGCAGACAAAGAAUAAGGAUAGAAGGAAAUGACUAUCUGAUGACGGUAGUUAUGCGAAUAAGCCCCGGCUAAUUACGUGCCAGCAGCCGCGGUAAUACGUAAGGGGCGAGCGUUGUUCGGAAUUAUUGGGCGUAAAGGGCAUGUAGGCGGUUAGGUAAGCCUGAUGUGAAAUGUACGAGCUUAACUCGUAAACUGCAUUGGGUACUGCUUGACUUGAAUCAUGGAGGGGAAACUGGAAUUCCAAGUGUAGGGGUGGAAUCUGUAGAUAUUUGGAAGAACACCGGUGGCGAAGGCGGGUUUCUAGCCAAUGAUUGACGCUAAGGUGCGAAGGUGCGGGGAGCAAACAGGAUUAGAUACCCUGGUAGUCCGCACAGUAAACGAUGUACACUAGGUGUUGGGGUAAGACUCAGUGCCGGAGCAAACGCAAUAAGUGUACCGCCUGGGGAGUAUGCUCGCAAGAGUGAAACUCAAAGGAAUUGACGGGGGCCCACACAAGCGGUGGAGCAUGUGGUUUAAUUC